CGGCAAAGUCACAGCCCCAGACAUCUGUUUCCUCUUAGUGUGUCCUCAGCUUAGUGAGUAAGCAGCAGGCUCCCGUCCCUCCUUUGGGAGGGAGUUACGGGAACCUACUCUCCUCUAACAAGCAGUGGAAAGACCGGGAAUCCAGCAUGAGCGCCCCAAGGUUUGUCUGAAGAUCAGAGGGCAGAGCCAGCCACUAGUUAACCAUAGAGGUCUGGAGGUCUGUAUGGACAGACAGGAAGUGAGAUGGCUGGACAGAGAGAGCAAGUGAUACAGCGGGAGGAGACUUCUGCUGGGAAAUUGAGUAGGCAGGAAUUUGCACAUGGAGACCAAGUGGAGGGCCCCAGCCAAUGGCCUCGGCAUCCUUCUUGCUUGCUGAGUGCAUGUGCACGUCACCUUGUCACUGUGGGACCCACAAGUCAAUCGAGAAGGCGGGAUUCCAACUACUAUGAAAUACCCUAGUCAGCGCGACAGAUGAGAGCCUGAUUCCCCACAUUAAGUCAAGGAUACAGAGCACAUCUGCACCAGUACAGAAACUUCAGAAGCCUACAGUAAGCCUGGAAGUCUAGGGCCACCAUGCUACCUCCUCUCUGCAUUCCCAGAU
Molecule: long non-coding RNA, 601 nt
Filed under: Cricetulus griseus (Chinese hamster)
Lineage: Eukaryota; Metazoa; Chordata; Mammalia; Rodentia; Cricetidae
Description: lncRNA (ENSCGRG00015039777.1)
Source: RNAcentral